This 442-nucleotide ribosomal RNA is filed under the name uncultured bacterium. Its description in RNAcentral is "bacterial SSU rRNA". It matches the Rfam family "Bacterial small subunit ribosomal RNA", at positions 30 to 478 of the family's 1533-position model. The record is from RNAcentral.
AUUGAACGCUGGCGGCAGGCUUAACACAUGCAAGUCGAGCGGAGACUUCGGUCUUAGCGGCGAACGGGUGAGUAAUACCUAGGAAUCUGCCUAUUAGUGGGGGAUAACGAAUCGAAAGGUUCGCUAAUACCGCAUACGUCCUACGGGAGAAAGGGGGGAUCUUCGGACCUCUCGCUAAUAGAUGAGCCUAGGCCGGAUUAGCUAGUUGGUAGGGUAAAGGCCUACCAAGGCGACGAUCUGUAGCUGGUCUGAGAGGAUGGCCAGCCACACUGGAACUGAGACACGGUCCAGACUCCUACGGGAGGCAGCAGUGGGGAAUAUUGGACAAUGGGGGCAACCCUGAUCCAGCCAUGCCGCGUGUGUGAAGAAGGCCUCGGUUGUAAGACGACUUAAGUCGAGGAGGAGGUUAGUAGGUUAAGUACCUACUAGAAUUAGACGUUAC